This 507-nucleotide ribosomal RNA is filed under the name bacterium enrichment culture clone ALO1_GLFRUDD03F6IK0. RNAcentral's name for it is "bacterial SSU rRNA". It matches the Rfam family "Bacterial small subunit ribosomal RNA", at positions 9 to 509 of the family's 1533-position model. The record is from RNAcentral.
GAGUUUGAUCAUGGCUCAGAUUGAACGCUGGCGGCAUGCCUUACACAUGCAAGUCGAACGGCAGCACGGGAGCUUGCUCCUGGUGGCGAGUGGCGAACGGGUGAGUAAUGCAUCGGAACGUAUCCUGGAGUGGGGGAUAACGUAGCGAAAGUUACGCCAAUACCGCAUAUUCUGUGAGCAGGAAAGCGGGGGACCUUCGGGCCUCGCGCUCUUGGAGCGGCCGAUGUCGGAUUAGCUAGUUGGUGAGGUAAAGGCUCACCAAGGCGACGAUCCGUAGCAGGUCUGAGAGGAUGAUCUGCCACACUGGAACUGAGACACGGUCCAGACUCCUACGGGAGGCAGCAGUGGGGAAUUUUGGACAAUGGGGGCAACCCUGAUCCAGCCAUGCCGCGUGUGUGAAGAAGGUCUUCGGAUUGUAAAGCACUUUAAGUUGGGAGGAAGGGCAGUAAGUUAAUACCUUGCUGUUUUGACGUUACCGACAGAAUAAGCACCGGCUAACUCUGUGCC